RNAcentral lists this ribosomal RNA (406 nucleotides) under uncultured bacterium. Its description in RNAcentral is "partial 16S ribosomal RNA". It matches the Rfam family "Bacterial small subunit ribosomal RNA", at positions 29 to 526 of the family's 1533-position model. The record is from RNAcentral.
AUUGAACGCUGGCGGCAGGCCUAACACAUGCAAGUCGAACGAGUGGCGGACGGGUGAGUAAUGUCUGGGAAACUGCCCGAUGGAGGGGGAUAACUACUGGACACGGUAGCUAAUACCGCAUACCAUCCGUGGUGCCCAGAUGGGAUUAGCUAGUAGGUGGGGUAACGGCUCACCUGGGCGACGAUCCCUAGCUGGUCUGAGAGGAUGCCCAGCCACACGGGAACUGAGACACGGUCCAGAUUCCGACGGGAGGCAGCGGGGGGGAAUAGUGCACAAUGGGCGCAAUCCGGAUGCAGCCAGGCCGCGGGUAGGAAGAAGGCCUUCGGGUUGUAAAGUACUUUCAGCGAGGAGGCGUUACUCGCAGAAGAAGCACCGGCUAACUCCGUGCCAGCCGCCGCGGUAAUAC